Long non-coding RNA from Poecilia reticulata (guppy), 445 nucleotides. RefSeq lists it as uncharacterized. Lineage: Eukaryota; Metazoa; Chordata; Actinopteri; Cyprinodontiformes; Poeciliidae. The record is from RefSeq and is a predicted model, not a curated record.
CUAAAAAACAUUUAGUAUCAGAAAAACACCAGAAUUGGGUGUUUUUUCUAAGUGCUUGGACUGUUUUUAGAAACAGGAGAAACCCAAAUGGAUGUAGAAAAAUGUGCAAACUGAUUUUUAAAAACAACAAAAUUUAUACAUCAGCACUUAUUCCUGCACUCCGACUUGUGCAGCCCAUUGUGCAGGAAAAAUUAAAGGAGGAUGGUUCAUGUUCCCUUAUGACAAGAUGUCUUCUGAAGAAAGUGUACGCAAGGCAACCAGACGUGCUGUCAACAUUAGGACUGCUGGCCGUCUUUGGUCCUUUUUAUUCUGCGCACACAAAGGAGUGAUUGGCUGGUGAUUUUACAACGAUCAUCACUCGAGCCGAACUCAUUCAAUAUUUUCUGCCUGAGGAACGGGAUGAAACCCUUGAAAAAAAGAGAUGAAACUAGAAGACGACUAGCAG